ACUCGAGUCUUUGACGCAAGUUGCGCCCAAAGCCAUUAGGCUGAGGGCACGCCUGCCUGGGUGUCACACAUCGUCACCCCCCUGCCCGCCACACUUAACUAAAUAAAUGUGCAGCAGGGGGUGCAAGCUGACCUCCCGCGAUACUUCCUCGUGGUUGGUUGAAAAGCAAGUUCGGGGCGGAGUCUCCCACGAUAACGGUGGAUGAGCCCACGCUCGAGACCAAUCGUGCUUGUGCGACUCCGACGUAAUGGACUUACUGACCCUACACGCGCCCUCUGUGAAAACUGAGUGCGCCAUCUACGAGACCUCAGGUCAGGCGGGGCUACCCGCUGAGUUUAAGCAUAUCAAUAAGCGGAGGAAAAGAAACUAACAAGGAUUCCCCUAGUAACGGCGAGCGAACCGGGAAAAGCCCACCAUGAGAAUCGGUCGCCUUCGGCGUUCGAAUUGUAGUUAG
Molecule: ribosomal RNA, 454 nt
Filed under: Vigna frutescens subsp. incana
Lineage: Eukaryota; Viridiplantae; Streptophyta; Magnoliopsida; Fabales; Fabaceae
Description: eukaryotic LSU rRNA
Rfam family: Eukaryotic large subunit ribosomal RNA (bases 303-454)
Source: RNAcentral